Long non-coding RNA from Bubalus bubalis (water buffalo), 434 nucleotides. RefSeq lists it as uncharacterized. The record is from RefSeq and is a predicted model, not a curated record. The transcript has 3 exons. NCBI's taxonomy places the organism in Eukaryota, Metazoa, Chordata, Mammalia, Artiodactyla, Bovidae.
UGGUUCUGGGUACCAAGAACACAACAGUGAAUCAAACCAAAAGUCUCUGUCCUCAUAGAGCUUAUAUCCUAGUGAGAAGAAAUACUGUUAUGUUUGAAGGUAAUAAGUGUAACAGGAAAUAAAAUACGUAGGGCCAGAUGGACUCUUUACUACUGAGCCACCAGGGAAGCCCUGUCACACAGAUAUCUGCAACUAAAGGAUAUCAAGCAGAGGGAACAGCCCAUGCAAAGAAGUUUUGCAAAGGAGACGAGAACCUUGAAGAUAAGGAGCACAGUGGCCAGCCAUCGGAAGUUGACAACAUCAAUCGAGAGGAUCCAUCGAAACUUAUCCUCUUAAAUCUAACUACAUGAGAAAUUGGUGAAAAACUCAAUGUUGACCAUUUUAUGGUUAUUUGGCAUUUGAAGCAAAUUGGAAAGGUGAAAAAACACAAUAGG